GACGAACGCUGGCGGCGUGCUUAACACAUGCAAGUCGAACGGAAAGGCCCUGCUUUUGUGGGGUGCUCGAGUGGCGAACGGGUGAGUAUCACGUGAGUAACCUGCCCUUGACUUUGGGAUAACUUCAGGAAACUGGGGCUAAUACCGGAUAGGAGCUCCUGCUGCAUGGUGGGGGUUGGAAAGUUUCGGCGGUUGGGGAUGGACUCGCGGCUUAUCAGCUUGUUGGUGGGGUAGUGGCUUACCAAGGCUUUGACGGGUAGCCGGCCUGAGAGGGUGACCGGCCACAUUGGGACUGAGGUACGGCCCAGACUCCUACGGGAGGCAGCAGUGGGAAAUAUUGCACAAUGGGCGGAAGCCUGAUGCAGCAACGCCGCGUGCGGGAUGACGGCCUUCGGGUUGUAAACCGCUUUCGCCUGUGACGAAGCGUGAGUGACGGUAAUGGGUAAAGAAGCAACGGCUAACUACGUG
This 468-nucleotide ribosomal RNA is filed under the name uncultured bacterium. Its description in RNAcentral is "partial 16S ribosomal RNA". It matches the Rfam family "Bacterial small subunit ribosomal RNA", at positions 28 to 507 of the family's 1533-position model. The record is from RNAcentral.